Molecule: ribosomal RNA, 422 nt
Filed under: uncultured bacterium
Lineage: Bacteria
Description: bacterial SSU rRNA
Rfam family: Bacterial small subunit ribosomal RNA
Source: RNAcentral
UAAGGAAUAUUGGUCAAUGGACGCAAGUCUGAACCAGCCAUGCCGCGUGGAGGAUUAAGGCCCUCUGGGUUGCAAACUCCUUUUAUCUGGGAAGAAAUGUACUUUUUCUUGAGUACUUGACGGUACCAGAGGAAUAAGCACCGGCUAACUCCGUGCCAGCAGCCGCGGUAAUACGGAGGGUGCAAGCGUUAUCCGGAUUCACUGGGUUUAAAGGGUGCGUAGGUGGGCAGGUAAGUCAGUGGUGAAAUCUCCGGGCUUAACCCGGAAACUGCCGUUGAUACUAUUUGUCUUGAAUAUUGUGGAGGUAAGCGGAAUAUGUCAUGUAGCGGUGAAAUGCUUAGAUAUGACAUAGAACACCAAUUGCGAAGGCAGCUUACUACACAAUCAUUGACGCUGAGGCACGAAAGCGUGGGGAUCAAACA